CUCCAAUGAACUUUGAACGGAUUGUGAUAGAGACAUGAGCCUCUCUGAGCAUCAGUCCUGACAGAUCUCAGUUCUUUGAAUAUGAGUCUGUCUCUCUGAGCUGUGAUGUUCAGAGCUCUACUGGAUGGAGAGUGGUGAGGAACACGCUGAAAGGAGGGACUGAAGAGUGUCCCACUGACUGGGGAUUUUUUAAAGGGUCUUCAUGCACCAUAUCUGCAGUACCAUCAGACAGUGGAGUGUACUGGUGUGAGUCUGGGUCUGGAGAACACAGCAAUGCUGUUAACAUCACAGUACAUGAUGGGGCUGUGAUCCUGGAGAGCCCUGCCAUUCCUGUGACUGAGGGAUAUUUUGUGACUCUGCGCUGCGUAUAUGAAGACAAGAAAACGAAGAAAACAUUCUCAAACUUCAGAGCUGAUUUCCAUAAUGAUGGAUCCCUCAUCAUGACCAACACUACAGGGGAGAUGACCAUCCCUGCAGUAUCCAAAUCAGAUGAAGGGCUCUACAAGUGUAACAACACUAAAGGAGAAUCACCAGAGAGCUGGAUGACUGUGACAGUUCCAUCUUCAGCUCCAGGGCCAGCCCCAUCUCCAGCAGUCCCAGUGUGGUCCAUCUCUCUGCCCAGGCUGCUGUGUAGUCUACUAGUAGUGUCUCCUUACCUGCUGGUGACCAUCAUACUGGUGGUGAAAUGCAACAGCCGCAGGAGCAUGGCUCGAGCUCAAUCUGAUGAAGAGAAGAAAAGAUGUACUGUCAUCACAUAAUCAGGAUGGAAUGUUACGCAACAACACACUUUAUGGGAACCAUGUUGAUAUGGUCGGAGAGAGAGAGAGAGAGAGAGAGAGAGAGAGAGAGAGAGAGAGAGAGAGACAGACAGACAGACAGACAGACAGACAGACAGACAGACAGACAGACAGACAGACAGACAGACAGACAGACAGACAGACAGACAGACAGACAGACAGACAGACAGACAGACAGACAGACAGACAGACAGACAGAAGCCUGACUGAAGGAUGGGGGAGAGAAGAAGACCCCCCACACACACACAUAAACACACACAUACACUGUUACCAUGCACUUGUUUAUCAGAAUAGAGGAUGUGCUGCUGUGUGGCUGGUUGCAUAUGAGCAUAUGCUGUGGUUAACCACUUUCUCUGUCCUUUUGUCUUCUGCUGCCCCCUUCCCUCCCUG
This 1187-nucleotide long non-coding RNA is filed under the name Salmo salar (Atlantic salmon). Its description in RNAcentral is "lncRNA (ENSSSAG00000087306.1)". Lineage: Eukaryota; Metazoa; Chordata; Actinopteri; Salmoniformes; Salmonidae. The record is from RNAcentral.